GAGAGACCAAGAUGUAGGCUACCUUAAGUUGUAUGAGGCUGCUGUGAAAAUGGCAUUGGUGUUUUUUUGGCUCUAAGAAAUUUUCAGGACCUAGUCAAGCAUGUGACAACAAAUAUUUAAUGAUAGUGGACAAGGUAAACUUCAAAAGUGACUAGAAAGCCUUGUAGAGUCUAAGACAGAGGGACCCUAACAAGCUUGAUGACAUUUUGAAUACGUUUUGUAUUGAUUACUAAUUCUUUUCCCAAUGAUCUGUGAAGCUGGCUUUCUGUUUGGCAAGGCAGCCCCAGAAGGAACUUUCACCCCCUACCUCCUUGCAGGAGUAGCUUAGAACAUCUCCCAGCAUCGGGCCCUCCAGAGUCUGGGAGGGUUUGGUUGUCUCGUGAAUUAUGUGGUGCCCUUCAGGAACUCACUGUGAUCUCUGUUGCCUUUCCUUUCAAGCAAGUGGUGUGGAAAAAUAUUAAAACUCUCAGUAAUGACAGUUUCUAGAUACGCACAUCUUUGAGUGGACAAUGAAGGCAACAUUUAUAUUCUGUCCACAAUGCGAGCAUGGUAUGCAUUCUGCCGCUAUCAGAGAGCCUUCCUUCUGUUACCAAAUACCUUACUUCCUGACAGGUAUGACCUCCGGGACCUCCCUAACCCCUUUCUUUCUUUCCAUACAAAAAUCUAGAGCUUGGCUUUUCUUUUUCUUCUUUUUUUGUAAAAAGAGGUUUUUCCAUUUUAAAAAGCCUGUUCAGUUCUUAAACUUGAUCAUUGAUAUGUUCCGCCUCAUCAGGAAGAGGAGUGCAGCUGAACUGACGAUCAGUUCAUGCCCUUGGCCUCACUCAUUAUCAUGUCAAGGACCUGGCAUGCCCAUUGAGGAGGGCCUCUGCGCAUUCUGUCAUCAUCAAGCCUAAUUCCUUCCCCUGUUGAUGGUUUUGCCAGAUUCUUUGCCUGUUGAUGCCCAUGCCAGGGCCAUGGUGCUUAUGCCAAAGCCUUUGACAGAAUGAGUCAAAUCUGAUGCCAGUCACCCUGGCAGAUGCCACCUUGUUGUUGACCACUUCCUACCAGGGAUGGGCUGAAAAGCAUAGUGUCUGCUAAGCUUGUAGAGGACUUUUCUGUAAGUGCUAAGUAUUGACGUUACUCCAAUUUGAAUCAGAUCAUUUGGAACUCUUGCUUGGAUCUCUCAAAGCUGUUGACUCAUUUGUAUCUUGGCCUCCCAUUAGUGGGGUAGAUAGGAGCCAACAAGUUUGAGUGAAGUCAGAAUAAAUAUCUUUUAAGUGUGGAUCUGUGGAGAAGAAAGAGGUCCCAAGAUCAUAUUGAAAACUGUGGUUAAAACUGUGAAUCAAGAGGUUUGUUUUAAUUUGCCAUUUUCUUACGAAGUUUUAAAAUGUUUUCUAAUAAAGCUUCUUAUUUAUUGCCUUAAUACAUUUUCUGUUACUUAUAACAGAAUACCUAAAACUAAAUAAUUUAUGGCUGGGUGCAGUGGCUCACACCUGUAAUCCCAGCACUUUGGGAAGCUGCGGCAGGCGGAUCACGAGGUCAGAAGAUCGAGACCACCUGGCUAACAUGGUGAAACCCCGUCUCUACUAAAAAUACAAAAAAAUUAGCCAGUUGUAGUGGCGAGCACCUUAGUCCUAGCUACUCGGGAGGCUGAGGCAGGAGAAUUAUCUGAACCCAGGAGGUGGAGCUUGCAGUGAGCCGAGAUCGCGCCACUGCACUCCCGCCUGAGUGACAGAGCAAGACCCCAUCUCAAAAAAAAAAAAAAAA
This is a long non-coding RNA of Macaca fascicularis (crab-eating macaque), 1746 nucleotides long. Lineage: Eukaryota; Metazoa; Chordata; Mammalia; Primates; Cercopithecidae. The record is from Ensembl.